AGCGAACGCUGGCGGCAGGCCUAACACAUGCAAGUCGAACGGCACCACAGUAAUUGCUUGCUCUUACGUGUGGCGAGUGGCGGACGGGUGAGGUAUACACCGGACUCUACUUUUUCGUGGGGGCUAACGUAGGGAAACUUACUCUAAGACCGCAUACGACCUACUUGUGAAAGCAGGGGAUCUUCGGACCUUGCGCGAUUGAAUGAGCCGAUGUCGGAUUAGCUAGUUGGCGGGGUAAUGGCCCACCAAGGCGACGAUCCGUAGCUGGUCUGAGAGGAAGGAUCAGCACCUGGGAACGGAGACAGCGUCCAGACUCCUGCGGGAGGCCGCAGAGGGGAAUACUGGGCAAGGGGGGAAAGCCUGAUCCAGCCAAACCGAGUGGGUGAAGAAGGCCUUCGGGUUGGUAAGCCAUUUUGUUGGGAAAAAAAAGCAGCAGGUUAACACCCCGCGAUACUGACGGUACCCGAAGAAUAAGCCCCGGCUAACUUCGUG
RNAcentral lists this ribosomal RNA (492 nucleotides) under uncultured bacterium. Its description in RNAcentral is "partial 16S ribosomal RNA". It matches the Rfam family "Bacterial small subunit ribosomal RNA", at positions 29 to 507 of the family's 1533-position model. The record is from RNAcentral.